CCUACGGGAGGCAGCAGUGGGGAAUAUUGGACAAUGGGCGAAAGCCUGAUCCAGCCAUGCCGCGUGUGUGAAGAAGGCCUUCGGGUUGUAAAGCACUUUCAGUGGGGAAGAAAGCCUUGGGGCUAAUACCCUCGAGGAAGGACAUCACCCACAGAAGAAGCACCGGCUAACUCCGUGCCAGCAGCCGCGGUAAUACGGAGGGUGCGAGCGUUAAUCGGAAUUACUGGGCGUAAAGCGCGCGUAGGCGGUCUGAUAAGCCGGUUGUGAAAGCCCCGGGCUCAACCUGGGAACGGCAUCCGGAACUGUCAGGCUAGAGUGCAGGAGAGGAAGGUAGAAUUCCCGGUGUAGCGGUGAAAUGCGUAGAGAUCGGGAGGAAUACCAGUGGCGAAGGCGGUCUUCUGGACUGACACUGACGCUGAGGUGCGAAAGCGUGGGUAGCAAACAGGAUUAGAUACCCUGGUAGUC
This 465-nucleotide ribosomal RNA is filed under the name Vreelandella stevensii. Its description in RNAcentral is "partial 16S ribosomal RNA". It matches the Rfam family "Bacterial small subunit ribosomal RNA", at positions 338 to 795 of the family's 1533-position model. Lineage: Bacteria; Pseudomonadati; Pseudomonadota; Gammaproteobacteria; Oceanospirillales; Halomonadaceae. The record is from RNAcentral.